AGCGAACGUUUGCGGCGGGCUUAACACAUGCAAGUCGAACGAGAAUCCCUUCGGGGAGGAAAGUGGCGCACGGGUGCGUAACACGUGGAUAACCAACCCAUUGGUUUGGGACAACACCGGGAAACUGGUGCUAAUACCAGAUGUGUCGCAGCUGUCUUCAGGCGGUUGCGAGAAAGGCCCGCAAGGGUCGCCAACGGACGGGUCCGCGUCCCAUCAGCUAGUUGGUGAGGUAAUGGCUCACCAAGGCAAAGACGGGUAGCUGGUCUGAGAGGAUGAUCAGCCACACUGGAACUGAGACACGGUCCAGACUCCUACGGGAGGCAGCAGUGGGGAAUAUUGCGCAAUGGGCGAAGGCCUGACGCAACCACGCCGCGUGAGCGAUGAAGGUCUUCGGAUCGUAAAGCUCUGUGGGGGAGAAGAAGAAAGCCGGUGAAGAGCCGGCCCUGACGGUAUCCCCUUAGCAAGCACCGGCUAACUCCGUGCCAGCAGCCCGGUAAUGU
This 500-nucleotide ribosomal RNA is filed under the name uncultured bacterium. Its description in RNAcentral is "bacterial SSU rRNA". It matches the Rfam family "Bacterial small subunit ribosomal RNA", at positions 29 to 526 of the family's 1533-position model. The record is from RNAcentral.